This 504-nucleotide ribosomal RNA is filed under the name uncultured bacterium. Its description in RNAcentral is "partial 16S ribosomal RNA". It matches the Rfam family "Bacterial small subunit ribosomal RNA", at positions 28 to 523 of the family's 1533-position model. The record is from RNAcentral.
GAUAAACGCUAGCGGCAGGCUUAACACAUGCAAGUCGAGGGGCAGCAUAGAUUGUAGCAAUACAAUUGGUGGCGACCGGCGCACGGGUGCGUAACGCGUAUGCAACCUACCCGUCACAGGGGGAUAAUCCGGAGAAAUCUGGUCUAAUACCCCAUAACAUAUGGAUCGGCAUCGGUUCAUGUUGAAAUUUUCGGAGGUGACGGAUGGGCAUGCGUAGCAUUAGCUUGUUGGUGAGGUAACGGCUCACCACGGCGACGAUGCUUAGGGGGACCGAGAGGUUUUCCCCCCACACUGGUACUGAGACACGGACCAGACUCCUACGGGAGGCAGCAGUGAGGAAUAUUGGUCAAUGUGCGCAAGCCUGAACCAGCCAUGCCGCGUGCAGGAUGACGGCUCUAUGAGUUGUAAACUGCUUUUGUACGAGGGUAAAGUGGGUUACGUGUAACCUUUUGAAAGUAUCGUACGAAUAAGGAUCGGCUAACUCCGUGCCAGCCGCCGCCGUAA